UAUUUAAAUUUAAAUUUUAAAAAAUUUUAUUGUGACUAUAAGUCUUUAAUAAAAUAUUCUGGCUAAAGCUACUAUUAAACGUAUUAUUAAUAUGAAAUUGACCAACACAGCAUUUAUUUUUUUGAGACAGGGUCUCACUUUGUCACCCAGUCUGGAGUGCAGUGACACAAACAUGGCUCCUGGGCUCAAGCGCUCUCCCACCUCAGCCUCCUGUGUAGCUGGGACCACAGGUGUGUGCCACCAUGCCCAGUGUGAAGAUGUGCUUGGUUUCCUUUCGUCCUUCCACCAUGAUUAUAAGUCUCCUGAGAUUUCCCAGCCAAGCUUCCUGUACAGCCUGCAGAACUGUAGAGCCACACAAUUCAAUGAGUGUUUAUUAAGCACCUACUAUGUGCAAGCCUCUAUGUCUCAUGCUGGGGAUGAUUCAAGGAUGACUUGCUCCACCUCUGACCUUAAGGAAAGUGCUACCCAAUAA
This 472-nucleotide long non-coding RNA is filed under the name Papio anubis (olive baboon). RNAcentral's name for it is "lncRNA (ENSPANG00000046075.1)". Lineage: Eukaryota; Metazoa; Chordata; Mammalia; Primates; Cercopithecidae. The record is from RNAcentral.